Molecule: ribosomal RNA, 309 nt
Filed under: uncultured eukaryote
Lineage: Eukaryota
Description: partial 18S ribosomal RNA
Rfam family: Eukaryotic small subunit ribosomal RNA
Source: RNAcentral
CCCUUAGAUGUUCUGGGCGGCCCGCGCACUACAUUGGCACUGGCAACAAGAUCCUAGAUCUGAUAUUUCGGGGUAUUCUACCAACUGGUGUCGUGACUGGGAUUAACCCCUGCAAUUAUUGGUUAUGAACGAGGAAUUCCUUGUAAUCACGGUUUAUCAACCCGUGUUGAAUGCGUCCCUGCCCUUUGUACACACCGCCCGUCGCUCCUACCGAUGAAUCGUCCGGUGAAGUUCAUGGAGUCGCUGCUGCUCCAGCUGUUUUCGAAGUGAAAUGGACCUCNUNAUUUAANGGAAGGAGAANUCGUANCA